UAUGAGAGUUUGAUCCUGGCUCAGGACGAACGCUGGCGGCGUGCCUAAUACAUGCAAGUCGUACGCUUCUUUUUCCACCGGAGCUUGCUCCACCGGAAAAAGAAGAGUGGCGAACGGGUGAGUAACACGUGGGUAACCUGCCCAUCAGAAGGGGAUAACACUUGGAAACAGGUGCUAAUACCGUAUAACAAUCGAAACCGCAUGGUUUUGAUUUGAAAGGCGCUUUCGGGUGUCGCUGAUGGAUGGACCCGCGGUGCAUUAGCUAGUUGGUGAGGUAACGGCUCACCAAGGCUACGAUCCCUAGCCGACCUGAGAGGGUGAUCGG
RNAcentral lists this ribosomal RNA (325 nucleotides) under Bifidobacterium pseudocatenulatum. RNAcentral describes it as "bacterial SSU rRNA". It matches the Rfam family "Bacterial small subunit ribosomal RNA", at positions 1 to 307 of the family's 1533-position model. The record is from RNAcentral. Lineage: Bacteria; Bacillati; Actinomycetota; Actinomycetes; Bifidobacteriales; Bifidobacteriaceae.